This 61-nucleotide microRNA precursor is filed under the name Ixodes scapularis (black-legged tick). RNAcentral's name for it is "Isc-Mir-210_pre stem-loop". The record is from RNAcentral. Lineage: Eukaryota; Metazoa; Arthropoda; Arachnida; Ixodida; Ixodidae.
CAGUCGCUGGCCAUGUCACAAGAGCGGAAUUGACUUUCUUGUGCGUGUGACAGCGGCUAUU